RNAcentral lists this unclassified non-coding RNA (1413 nucleotides) under uncultured fungus. RNAcentral's name for it is "sequence contains 18S rRNA gene, ITS1, 5.8S rRNA gene, ITS2, 28S rRNA gene". The stretch from base 471 to 1413 matches the Rfam family "Eukaryotic large subunit ribosomal RNA", at positions 1 to 961 of the family's 3401-position model. Lineage: Eukaryota; Fungi. The record is from RNAcentral.
GGAAGGAUCAUUACUGAGUUCAUGCCCUCACGGGUAGAUCUCCACCCUUGAAUACAAACCAUUGUUGCUUUGGCGGGCCGCUUCGGCUACCGGCUUCGGCUGGUGAGUGCCCGCCAGAGGACCCUAAACUCUGAAUUAUAGUGUCGUCUGAGAAUUAUCAAAUAGUUAAAACUUUCAACAACGGAUCUCUUGGUUCUGGCAUCGAUGAAGAACGCAGCGAAAUGCGAUAAGUAAUGUGAAUUGCAGAAUUCAGUGAAUCAUCGAAUCUUUGAACGCACAUUGCGCCCCUUGGUAUUCCGGGGGGCAUGCCUGUUCGAGCGUCAUUAUAACCCUCAAGCCUAGCUUGGUGUUGGAGCAUGCUACCUAGCAGCUCUUAAAAUCAGUGGCAGUGCCCUCUGGCUCUAAGCGUAGUAACUCUUCUCGCUAUGGAACCCAGAGGGACCGCGCCAAAACCCCCAACUUCUAAUGAUUGACCUCGGAUCAGGUAGGGAUACCCGCUGAACUUAAGCAUAUCAAUAAGCGGAGGAAAAGAAACCAACAGGGAUUGCCUCAGUAACGGCGAGUGAAGCGGCAAAAGCUCAAAUUUGAAAUCUGGCUCUUUUAGGGUCCGAGUUGUAAUUUGUAGAAGAUGCUUUGGGUGUGGUACCGGUCUAAGUUCCUUGGAACAGGACGUCACAGAGGGUGAGAAUCCCGUAUGUGAUCGGUCGCCUUCGCCCGUGUAAAGCUCUUUCGACGAGUCGAGUUGUUUGGGAAUGCAGCUCAAAAUGGGUGGUAUAUUUCAUCUAAAGCUAAAUAUUGGCCAGAGACCGAUAGCGCACAAGUAGAGUGAUCGAAAGAUGAAAAGCACUUUGGAAAGAGAGUUAAACAGUACGUGAAAUUGUUGAAAGGGAAGCGCUUGCAAUCAGACUUGCGUGCAGUUGAUCAUCUAGUGUUCUCACUGGUGCACUCUGCUGUACUCAGGCCAGCAUCGGUUCCGGUGGUUGGAUAAAGGCCUUGGGAAUGUAGCUCCUCUCGGGGAGUGUUAUAGCCCUCGGUGCAAUGCAGCCUACUGGGACCGAGGACCGCGCUUCGGCUAGGAUGCUGGCGUAAUGGUUGUAAGCGACCCGUCUUGAAACACGGACCAAGGAGUCUAACAUCUAUGCGAGUGUUUGGGUGUUAAACCCAUACGCGGAAUGAAAGUGAACGGAGGUGAGAACCCUUUAGGGUGCAUCAUCGACCGAUCCUGAUGUCUUCGGAUGGAUUUGAGUAAGAGCAUAGCUGUUGGGACCCGAAAGAUGGUGAACUAUGCGUGAAUAGGGUGAAGCCAGAGGAAACUCUGGUGGAGGCUCGCAGCGGUUCUGACGUGCAAAUCGAUCGUCAAAUUUGCGCAUAGGGGCGAAAGACUAAUCGAACCAUCUAGUAGCUGGUUCCUGC